AAGCUAGCCAUCUAGCAGAGAAGACGCCAACUCUUCCUGUGGGCUCUGAUCUCUUCCCUGGACUAGCAAGGAAGCGUGGCCAUGGGCGACUACUUUCUGAAUCCUCGACACAGACAUACUAAUAAAUAAACAAACACGCACCAGUUGGGUCUGGUUUGUUUUCCAAACGGGGAGCAGCAAGUGACCUGGUUAAUCCAAGGUUUCAGACAGCAGGGGUUGAGAAAUCAGGCGUGAACAAGGCUGUACCAAGAUGUCUUGGCUGUGAGCGUGGAGCACACCAAGGGAGGACCAGCGAUACCACAGAAAAGCCAGCAGGUGACGGCAGGCACUAAAAGGAGCUCGAUGAAUAACAAAGAGGGUGCCGGCAGCCAAAGCCUUUUUAAGAUGCUAAUUAAGCAAGAAA
Long non-coding RNA from Bos taurus (domestic cattle), 403 nucleotides. NCBI's taxonomy places the organism in Eukaryota, Metazoa, Chordata, Mammalia, Artiodactyla, Bovidae. The record is from Ensembl.